RNAcentral lists this ribosomal RNA (296 nucleotides) under uncultured bacterium. RNAcentral's name for it is "partial 16S ribosomal RNA". It matches the Rfam family "Bacterial small subunit ribosomal RNA", at positions 775 to 1067 of the family's 1533-position model. The record is from RNAcentral.
GGAUUAGAUACCCUGGUAGUCCACGCCGUAAACACUGUGCACUAGAUUUAGGGGGAGUUGACCCCUUCUGAAUCGAAGCUAACGCAUUAAGUGCACCGCCUGGGGAGUACGGUCGCAAGACUAAAACUCAAAGGAAUUGACGGGGGCCCGCACAAGCGGUGGAUUAUGUGGUUUAAUUCGAAGCAACGCGCAGAACCUUACCUAGGCUUGAAAUCCUACGAAUCCGGCCCAAAAGCUGGAGUGCCCCUCGGGGAAUGUAGAGACAGGCGCUGCAUGGCUGUCGUCAGCUCGUGUUG